Long non-coding RNA from Alligator mississippiensis (American alligator), 931 nucleotides. RefSeq lists it as uncharacterized. The record is from RefSeq and is a predicted model, not a curated record. The transcript has 2 exons. NCBI's taxonomy places the organism in Eukaryota, Metazoa, Chordata, Crocodylia, Alligatoridae.
GUGGGCUGGACUUUCUUCGGGCAUAUUAUGAUGCAAACAAGGAAAUAAGGAAGUGCUGGUGGAGUGGAUGUGGAUGAGAGCUGCCCGGUAUCACCAUCUGAUUCACCAAGGGCAUCAUAUACUGGUGACGGGGCCAGAAGGCCUAUAAAAGCUCUCCCUCCCAGCGCCUCCUUAUCCACUUGACUCCACAUCCACUCCCUCCUGUUCGCUUGACAGGCAUUUCUGAGUUGAAGAACCAUGUCUUACCCCAACCAGCAGCAAUGCAAGCAGGUUGUGUGUCCUCCACCAUUGAUUCCUCCCCAGAAAUGUACUCCACCGCAGUGUCCUCUACCAAAGUGCCCUCCAUCAAAGUGCCCUCCACCCCAGUGGCCUGACCAGAAGUGCCCUCCACCCCAGUGUCCUGACCAGAAGUGCCCUCCAUCGAAGUGCCCUCCACCGCAGUGGCCUGACCAGAAGUGCCCUCCACCCCAGUGUCCUGACCAGAAGUGCCCUCCAUCGAAGUGCCCUCCACCGCAGUGGCCUGACCAGAAGUGCCCUCCACCGCAGUGUCCUCAGCAACAGUGACCUCCACAGAAGUGAUGGCUGAUGCCCCAACCCACCGCGGCAACAUCAACAUCUGGGAAAGCAAGAGCAAGUCAGCAAGUCCCUGAAUGCAGUUUCUUUCACAUCCCUUGCUCUUCUCCCCUUGUUUCCCAGGCUGUUCCUGCAACCAUUUCCAAGCUCUGCUCUUGUACCCAGCAACGAUCCUGUUCUAAGUGGUGCCUUGAAUCUGUGCCGGUGCCAACUGACUUUGCGAUUCAGUCUCCUGGCAUUUUCUUUCUGGUAAGAAGCUGGAUACGGAGAUACAGGACCAGUCUUUAAAUUAUUUUCCAGUGUUUCCCUCCUAUCUUACAUUGUGAGCUUCGUCCAAUAAAAGUUUUCCUUCAUGGCA